RNAcentral lists this ribosomal RNA (532 nucleotides) under uncultured bacterium. RNAcentral describes it as "bacterial SSU rRNA". It matches the Rfam family "Bacterial small subunit ribosomal RNA", at positions 356 to 896 of the family's 1533-position model. The record is from RNAcentral.
GGGGAAUAUUGCACAAUGGGCGCAAGCCUGAUGCAGCGACGCCGCGUGGGGGAUGACGGCCUUCGGGUUGUAAACUCCUUUCGCUAGGGACGAAGCUUUUUGUGGCGGUACCUAGAUAAGAAGCACCGGCUAACUACGUGCCAGCAGCCGCGGUAAUACGUAGGGUGCGAGCGUUGUCCGGAAUUACUGGGCGUAAAGGGCUCGUAGGUGGUUUGUCGCGUCGUCUGUGAAAUUCCGGGGCUUAACUCCGGGCGUGCAGGCGAUACGGGCAUAACUUGAGUACUGUAGGGGUAACUGGAAUUCCUGGUGUAGCGGUGAAAUGCGCAGAUAUCAGGAGGAACACCGAUGGCGAAGGCAGGUUACUGGGCAGUUACUGACGCUGAGGAGCGAAAGCAUGGGUAGCGAACAGGAUUAGAUACCCUGGUAGUCCAUGCCGUAAACGGUGGGCGCUAGGUGUGAGGGUCUUUUCACGACUUUCGUGCCGUAGCUAACGCAUUAAGCGCCCCGCCUGGGGAGUACGGCCGCAAGGCUA